RNAcentral lists this unclassified non-coding RNA (177 nucleotides) under uncultured fungus. RNAcentral describes it as "sequence contains ITS1". Lineage: Eukaryota; Fungi. The record is from RNAcentral.
CAUGGCGGAGGAGGUGGGCACCUAGUAACCCUGGGUGUGUUGCCUUCACGCUUCUCUACCCUUGUCUAUUUGCACCUUUUUGUCGUUCCCUCGGUGGGUCUUGAAACCUGCCGACGGCAACUUUCAAAACCUCUUGCAGUAGUAUUGAAUUCUUCUGAUUCCAAUAUCAAAUCGUUA